AAUGAACGCUGGCGGCGUGCCUAACACAUGCAAGUCGCACGAGAACGUUUCAGCUUGCUGAGACUAUUAAAGUGGCGCACGGGUGAGUAACGCGUGGGUAAUCUACCCUUAAGUCGGGAAUAACUUAUCGAAAGGUGAAUUAAUACCGGAUAACACUGCAUAACUACUGUUGUGUAGUCAAAGAAGGCCUCUGCUUGCAAGCUUUCGCUGAAGGAUGAGUCCGCGUACCAUUAGCUAGUUGGUAGGGUAAUGGCCUACCAAGGUUAUGAUGGUUAGCUGGUCUGAGAGGAUGAUCAGCCACACUGGAACUGAAACACGGUCCAGACUCCUACGGGUGGCAG
RNAcentral lists this ribosomal RNA (341 nucleotides) under uncultured Pseudomonadota bacterium. RNAcentral's name for it is "bacterial SSU rRNA". It matches the Rfam family "Bacterial small subunit ribosomal RNA", at positions 29 to 351 of the family's 1533-position model. Lineage: Bacteria; Pseudomonadati; Pseudomonadota. The record is from RNAcentral.